GACGAACGCUGGCGGCGUGCUUAACACAUGCAAGUCGAACGGUGAAGCGCCUUCCUUUUUGGUGGGUGUGGAUGAGUGGCGAACGGGUGAGUAACACGUGAGUAACCUGCCCCCUUCUUCUGGAUAACCGCAUGAAAGUGUGGCUAAUACGGGAUAUUCUGGGUCUGUCGCAUGAUGGGUCUGGGAAAGAUAUUGUUUCGGUGGGGGAUGGGCUCGCGGCCUAUCAGCUUGUUGGUGGGGUGAUGGCCUACCAAGGCGGUGACGGGUAGCCGGCCUGAGAGGGUGGACGGUCACACUGGGGCUGAGACACGGCCCAGACUCCUACGGGAGGCAGCAGGGGGGAAUAUUGCACAAUGGGCGCAAGCCUGAUGCAGCGACGCCGCGUGAGGGAUGGAGGCCUUCGGGUUGUGAACCUCUUUCGCCAGUGAAGCAGGCCUGCCUCGUUUGUGGGUGGGUUGACGGUAGCUGGAUAAGAAGCGCCGGCUAACUACGUG
RNAcentral lists this ribosomal RNA (494 nucleotides) under uncultured bacterium. RNAcentral's name for it is "partial 16S ribosomal RNA". It matches the Rfam family "Bacterial small subunit ribosomal RNA", at positions 28 to 507 of the family's 1533-position model. The record is from RNAcentral.